GUCCUAGCGGUCCAGUGGUUAGGACUCCACACUUUCACUGCUGAGGCCUCAGGUUCAAUCCCUGAUUGGGGAA
This 73-nucleotide transfer RNA is filed under the name Bos taurus (domestic cattle). It matches the Rfam family "tRNA". Rfam says of the family: Transfer RNA (tRNA) molecules are approximately 80 nucleotides in length. The record is from Rfam by way of RNAcentral. Lineage: Eukaryota; Metazoa; Chordata; Mammalia; Artiodactyla; Bovidae. RNAcentral also lists the same sequence under 2 other names.